UAUGGCAUGUUCGCGAGGCUUGUAAGACUCUCAAUCCGUUGAUUGAGACUGAAGCUGAAUGGCCCUCAUCCGCGUCACCCUUCUCUUUCGCGUGAAGCUUAGGUCAUUCGGAGAGCUUGUUCAGUCGGGUGUUGUCUUUUUUUCUUUCAGAUAUCUGGCUUGCGAGGCUCCACUUUCGGGUGUUGAAGUCGCAGAGUCAAUCGCGAGAUUAUGCUGCUGAAUCUGUGAGAUUAUUGAUAAGAUUUCGAGAUUUUUGGGAGUGGCUUUGUCGGCGGCAUUGAUGUUUUCUGGAGCAAGACGUUGCGGAAGACGUUGAGGUCGGAGAAGAGGACGUGGAGUAGUAUGUAUGAAGUGAAUGGUGUGAGUGUGUGGUUUAGAAGUGUUGGAGUUGAGAACUUAGAGUAGAUUGUGUGGACGGGAGUUUGUUUUUCUGCGAAGGGUGCGAGUUGGUAUUGAUGUGGGGUGUCUCAAUUUGAAUCGGAUUGUAGUUGCGGCUCACUGAGCGCAUGUUGUGCUCAGUGUGGUUCUAUGACGGAGGCUUGUUGCGUCGGAGUUCGUUGGGCGUGAAGCUUGGUGGAGAAGAGUUGGUGUGAGAGAUUGGAUAAGAAUGAGGGGUUCCGGGGGUGCCUCGAGGCCUCAGAGGCAAGCAAGGGCUGGGGUGACUUACAAGGAGAGCGAUGAUGAUGACGACGAAUUCAUUCCCAAUGCCAAGUUAUCCUCCGACGUUGUUGGCAGGAGGAGUCUCAGAAGUUGCGCACUCGAGGUUGAAGAUUCAAUGAUCACUAAAGGGCGGAGGACUUUAGCCCUGAAAAGGCCAAGGAUUAUUGAACCUCCUGUGAUCACGGAAAAGGAGAAUAUCAAUGCAGAUGAGAUAGCUGAAGCUCCUCACGAGGCGGAGCCAGCGCUAUCUCAUGAUUAUCGACACCAGUUCCUCCAGGGCCUUGAAUUCUGCCGGAUUUCUGCGAAUGUGCCUGGUUCACAGAGAGAAAACAGUGCAUUUGAUUAUCUAUUGGAAGCCGUCAGUGGGGCAAGUGGUGAUGCCUAUGAAGAGGGUGCUUCGACAGGUCAACAGUGCUUUGCGACGAAAUCAAGCAAUCAAGAUGAAAGCAGAGCAAAGCAGGAGGUGACUACAUCAACUACCUAUGCUCCUGAACUUCUUGAAGCAUAUUCUGUUUUUGAGCGUACGUUGAAUGCUGUAAAAGGAGUGAUGGAAGAGGACACAAAAGCAACCGUCACAUUGACGAGUCCGACACAUUCUUCUCAUGAGGGAGGUAGGCUAGCCAGUUCAAGUGCAGGCGAAGUUUUGAAGAAUGUAGUCGAACUUGAGAGGAACAGGGAAGUUGAACAAGAUGCUAUAUCUUCUGCAAAUGAGAAGACAGGCCCUAAAAAGGGUUUGGAAGACAAGGAGGUUAACAUGUCUUCUGCUAAUGAGAAGACAAACAGGAAGAGGGUCAAGAGAGACAAUCAGGACAAUAUUCUCUAUUCAGACGAGAAGAAAGACACCAAGAAGAUCGAGGACGACAAACAGUGUAAUGUGUCUUCCGCAGAGGAGGAGGAAGAUGGAGAUUCUGAGGCUUCCUGGAAUGAAAGUUCUGACGCUUCAGAUUCUGAUAAAAAGAACUCCGCAAUAGGGAAGAAUGAUACUCUUCCUUCAUUCGAGAAAUCAAGUCCAAAACUAAAGACCUUUUCACGUACUUGGGAAGAGGUAUCUACACGAAAACAGAGGCCUGAAGUGUCAACUGGAGCAGUUUUCGUAGAUGCGUCAAUGUCUGGGAACAUCAUAUUAUCAUGGUUUUAAAUCCUUUUCGUCCCACGCUUACUGCAGGUGCCCCACCGUUGAUUCCUAAAAAGAGGCCUCCUAUUUUUGCCGGCAAUAAACCUUUUGUCUCUCCAGUUCCUGUACCUCUGAGUCUACCGUCACCAACUGUGGCUCAUAGACGAGUUGUGGGGCUCUCUCGGCGUCACAGACCUCCACCAUUGCACCCUUAUCUGCUGGGAACAUAGGCUCCAAAGCUGCCAAUGUCGCAAAUAUUGAGGCAGGUUUUGUCUUCAUUUUCUGCUUGACCACAGAUAAUUUAGGGAUGGUGUUCAAGCCGUAUACAUGCGGGUAGGUAGAGUAAUAGUGUGACCUAUAGACAGUUGAUCAUGUACAUGGGUUAUACUCGAUUGUCCUUCUGCCGUGCGUCGGAUCCCUAACCGAACUACUAAUGUUUUGCGGUUGGAGUGUUUAGGAAGUACAUUGAGGAUGGGUCAUGAAGGCAACUUCUUCAUGUGCCAAUUUUUUGAAAUGUGGAAAGGUCUUUAAGAGGACCAAUCCUGUAAAAUAUGUAGCAAUUUAUGAGAACACUGCACCGGUUCGCUUGUCAA
This is a non-coding RNA of Physcomitrium patens, 2367 nucleotides long. NCBI's taxonomy places the organism in Eukaryota, Viridiplantae, Streptophyta, Bryopsida, Funariales, Funariaceae. The record is from RefSeq and is a predicted model, not a curated record.